Molecule: ribosomal RNA, 583 nt
Filed under: Entamoeba sp.
Lineage: Eukaryota; Evosea; Mastigamoebida; Endamoebidae
Description: SSU rRNA
Rfam family: Eukaryotic small subunit ribosomal RNA
Source: RNAcentral
GUUGAUCCUGCCAGUAUUAUAUGCUGAUGUUAAAGAUUAAGCCAUGCAUGUGUAAGUUUAAAGACCAAGUAGGAUGAAACUGCGGACGGCUCAUUAUAACAGUAAUAGUUUCUUUGGUUAGUCGGUACAAGGAUAACUUUGUGAAUGAUAAAGCUAAUACUUGAGACGAUCCGGGAAGUAAUUUACUUUCUGGCCGCUGGCCGCGAGGUUGGCGAGUAACGACAUUCUCUUGUGAAAAAGGAUGCCACGACAAUUGAGGAAAGCGACGCUUUUAACAAGUAACCAAUGGGAAUUUCUGAUCUAUCAAUUUGUUGGUAGUAUCGAGGACUACCAAGAUUAUAACGGAUAACGAGGAAUUGGGGUUCGACAUCGGAGAGGGAGCUUUACAGAUGGCUACCACUUCUAAGGAAGGCAGCAGGCGCGUAAAUUACCCACUUUCGACUUGAAGAGGUAGUGACGACAAAUAACUCUUGUUACCCGUAAGGGUGACUUGAAGGAAUGAUUUAGAAGUAAAUUCUCUAAAGAAAUCAAUUGGAGGGCAAGUCUGGUGCCAGCAGCCGCGGUAAUUCCAGCUCCAAUAGUG